AAAAAAAAUUAAAACGUAUUUCGACUCUCUCGUCUUCCUCACCUUCGUUAAGUAAUGGCUUCUUCUUCACCUUCCUCAAUCAACUGAGCUUAGUAAUGGCUUCUUCUUCACCUUCCUCAAUCCAUAGAGCCCAAUAAUGGUAAUUUCUAUUAUUAAGAUUGAUUAGCUUGGUGGAUUGGUGGCUUUUAGUGUUUUAGACAGUUUGGCUUGGUGACUUUAAGAUGGUAGGUGUUGAUAAUGAAGUUCUUAUUAUUGAGAAUAAUGAUGAGGCUUCUGAUUAGACUCAAAGGCAUGAAGAAAUUUUCAUUGAACUUAUGGAAGAAGAAGUUUUAAAGGGAAAUAAGACAAAAGUACAUUGUCAUUGCUUGUUGUGGGGUUCACAAUUUUAUAAGGAAAAAUGCAGAAGCAGAUGUAUAUUUUGAUGGAGGUGAAGGAAAUUCUGAAGUACAGGCCACUACUUUACAAAGCACGGAUGGAACUUUGACUGAUAGUGUAGAGUUCAGUAUCUCUAUAACUCAUAUACGUGAAAUGGCUCAUGUUCGUGAUGAAAUUGCUGAUCAUAUAUGAAGAGCUAGUCAACGAUAGUGAGAUUGAGUAAAUACAUUAGUUGAUUGUUAUGACUCGUUUAAUACUUUACUUUAAGUUUAGACAAUUAUCAGUUCAUACUUUUUAUUUUACUAUGUAGACUUUAUUGAUUUUAUGUUAUCUCAUGGAUAGAUAUUAAGUUUUGAAAUUUGAGAUUACUUGGAUAUUAUUAAUAUGAUUUUUUUUUACUAUAA
Molecule: long non-coding RNA, 779 nt
Organism: Humulus lupulus (European hop)
Lineage: Eukaryota; Viridiplantae; Streptophyta; Magnoliopsida; Rosales; Cannabaceae
Exons: 3
Source: RefSeq, a predicted model, not a curated record